GAUGAACGCUGGCGGCGCGCCUAAUACAUGCAAGUCGAGCGAACAGACGAGGAGCUUGCUCCUCUGACGUUAGCGGCGGAAGGGUGAGUAACACGUGGAUAACCUACCUAUAAGACUGGGAUAACUUCGGGAAACCGGAGCUAAUACCGGAUAAUAUAUUGAACCGCAUGGUUCAAUAGUGAAAGACGGUUUUGCUGUCACUUAUAGAUGGAUCCGCGCCGCAUUAGCUAGUUGGUAAGGUAACGGCUUACCAAGGCGACGAUGCGUAGCCGACCUGAGAGGGUGAUCGGCCACACUGGAACUGAGACACGGUCCAGACUCCUACGGGAGGCAGCAGUAGGGAAUCUUCCGCAAUGGGCGAAAGCCUGACGGAGCAACGCCGCGUGAGUGAUGAAGGUCUUCGGAUCGUAAAACUCUGUUAUUAGGGAAGAACAAAUGUGUAAGUAACUAUGCACGUCUUGACGGUACCUGAUCAGAAAGCCACGGCUAACUACGUG
RNAcentral lists this ribosomal RNA (497 nucleotides) under uncultured bacterium. RNAcentral's name for it is "partial 16S ribosomal RNA". It matches the Rfam family "Bacterial small subunit ribosomal RNA", at positions 28 to 507 of the family's 1533-position model. The record is from RNAcentral.